Molecule: ribosomal RNA, 1372 nt
Filed under: uncultured bacterium
Lineage: Bacteria
Description: bacterial SSU rRNA
Rfam family: Bacterial small subunit ribosomal RNA
Source: RNAcentral
GAUGAACGCUGGCGGCGUGCCUAAUACAUGCAAGUCGAGCGAACGGACGAGAAGCUUGCUUCUCUGAUGUUAGCGGCGGACGGGUGAGUAACACGUGGAUAACCUACCUAUAAGACUGGGAUAACUUCGGGAAACCGGAGCUAAUACCGGAUAAUAUUUUGAACCGCAUGGUUCAAAAGUGAAAGACGGUCUUGCUGUCACUUAUAGAUGGAUCCGCGCUGCAUUAGCUAGUUGGUAAGGUAACGGCUUACCAAGGCAACGAUGCAUAGCCGACCUGAGAGGGUGAUCGGCCACACUGGAACUGAGACACGGUCCAGACUCCUACGGGAGGCAGCAGUAGGGAAUCUUCCGCAAUGGGCGAAAGCCUGACGGAGCAACGCCGCGUGAGUGAUGAAGGUCUUCGGAUCGUAAAACUCUGUUAUUAGGGAAGAACAUAUGUGUAAGUAACUGUGCACAUCUUGACGGUACCUAAUCAGAAAGCCACGGCUAACUACGUGCCAGCAGCCGCGGUAAUACGUAGGUGGCAAGCGUUAUCCGGAAUUAUUGGGCGUAAAGCGCGCGUAGGCGGUUUUUUAAGUCUGAUGUGAAAGCCCACGGCUCAACCGUGGAGGGUCAUUGGAAACUGGAAAACUUGAGUGCAGAAGAGGAAAGUGGAAUUCCAUGUGUAGCGGUGAAAUGCGCAGAGAUAUGGAGGAACACCAGUGGCGAAGGCGACUUUCUGGUCUGUAACUGACGCUGAUGUGCGAAAGCGUGGGGAUCAAACAGGAUUAGAUACCCUGGUAGUCCACGCCGUAAACGAUGAGUGCUAAGUGUUAGGGGGUUUCCGCCCCUUAGUGCUGCAGCUAACGCAUUAAGCACUCCGCCUGGGGAGUACGACCGCAAGGUUGAAACUCAAAGGAAUUGACGGGGACCCGCACAAGCGGUGGAGCAUGUGGUUUGAUUCGAAGCAACGCGAAGAACCUUACCAAAUCUUGACAUCCUUUGACAACUCUAGAGAUAGAGCCUUCCCCUUCGGGGGACAAAGUGACAGGUGGUGCAUGGUUGUCGUCAGCUCGUGUCGUGAGAUGUUGGGUUAAGUCCCGCAACGAGCGCAACCCUUAAGCUUAGUUGCCAUCAUUAAGUUGGGCACUCUAAGUUGACUGCCGGUGACAAACCGGAGGAAGGUGGGGAUGACGUCAAAUCAUCAUGCCCCUUAUGAUUUGGGCUACACACGUGCUACAAUGGACAAUACAAAGGGCAGCGAAACCGCGAGGUCAAGCAAAUCCCAUAAAGUUGUUCUCAGUUCGGAUUGUAGUCUGCAACUCGACUACAUGAAGCUGGAAUCGCUAGUAAUCGUAGAUCAGCAUGCUACGGUGAAUACGUUCCCGGGUCU